Molecule: ribosomal RNA, 253 nt
Filed under: uncultured bacterium
Lineage: Bacteria
Description: partial 16S ribosomal RNA
Rfam family: Bacterial small subunit ribosomal RNA
Source: RNAcentral
UACAUAGGUCUCAAGCGUUGUUCGGAUUCAUUGGGCGUAAAGGGUGCGUAGGUGGCGCUGUAAGUCGGGUGUGAAAUUUCGGAGCUUAACUCCGAAACUGCAUUCGAUACUGCGGUGCUUGAGGACUGGAGAGGAGACUGGAAUUCAUGGUGUAGCAGUGAAAUGCGUAGAGAUCAUGAGGAAGACCAGUGGCGAAGGCGGGUCUCUGGACAGUUCCUGACACUGAGGCACGAAGGCCAGGGGAGCAAACGGG